This is a long non-coding RNA of Homo sapiens (human), 3894 nucleotides long. Ensembl annotates it as SUCLG2 divergent transcript. Its record names the gene SUCLG2-DT. Lineage: Eukaryota; Metazoa; Chordata; Mammalia; Primates; Hominidae. The record is from Ensembl.
GGCUCACGGAGCUGACGCCCUCCGCAGAGAACCGUGGUCUAGUCCUGCGGUCACGAGGCCUAUCUGGGACAGUGGUGUUUGAGCUGAGACUUUAACGAAUAGAGACAGGUGAGGUUCCUGCAGCCCAGGGCUUCAGCGUGAACAACCCCAGAAGGAAAAAGAGUGCUGUUGUUAAAGGUAUCUGGCAUCAUGGACCCAACCAUCACCAGGAGUUUCUCACUUCAUCUCUGCUUUAUUGUAGUAUAAUUUGCAUACAAUAAUGGCACACAUUUAAUGUGCACAGUGUGAUAAAUUUUGACAUAUGUAUACAUCCAUGAAGCCGGCACCACAAUCAAGAUAAUGAACAUCUCGCUUACCCCAGAAGUUUCCUGUGCCCUGUCACUCCUCCGUAUUCCUCCAUCCUCAGGAUUUCAUCAAAUGGUCUGCUGCACUGUGCUGGAAUUUUGAACUCCCCAGAGUAGUAAACAACAUCUUCUCAAGGGUAUACAAGUCAUCAGAUAGAGAAAACACCCAUUAUAGAGCUGUGGAGCCCUUACGAUAUAGUGCUAUGCUGCAACAAAUUAGACAGAAGAGUAUUUGUUGAAUAAUAAAAGAGUCUCACUCUAUUGCCCAGGCUGGAGUGCAGUGGCAUGAUCUCGGUACACUGCAAGCUCUGUCUCCUGAGUUCAAGCGAUUCUCAUGCCUCAGCCUCCCGAGUAGCUGGGAUUACAGUUUUCCAAUAAUAACAUAGAAAAAAGGAAGAAUUUGAGAGUUUCUCAGAUUAGGCAAUUCCUUGAAGAAUCUGAGAACACAGAAGCUCCCCUCCCUACUUUCCAUGAUUGAAAUCAGUGAUUCAUUGGUUUCUUUGUGUGGGCUUUUGAAAGAUCAUUAGAAACCAACCUGAAGAUCAUGAGAUUCUUGUGGACACAGGAGCAAUGAGUGGCAAUACAGUGCUUUCUAAUGCAACCUACUUUAAAAGGUAAACAGAUAAAAGAAAAUACCGAAGACUGAAAAUGCAGAAAAUUCAACCAUGCAGCCCAUUCCAAAUUAAAUAUGUCUUCCUCUCUAAUUCCUCUCUUCUAGCAGAGAAGGGGAGAUGAGCUAUGACUCCAUGCUCAUGCUUAACAAAAUUGUGUUAGAUUGGUGCAAAAGUAAUUGCAGUUUUUGCCAUUUAAAAGUAAUUGCAAUGUUAUCUCCUAGAAUUUUUAUAGUUUCAGGUCUUAAGUUUAAGUCCUUAAUCCAUCUUGAGCUGAUUUUUUGUAUAGGGCUGGACGUUCGCUUAGGCAAGGAUUUCAUGACCAACAACCUGAAAGGAAAUGCAAUAAAAACAAAGAUAAAUAGCUGGAACCUAGUUAAACUAAAGAGCUUUUGCAUGGCAAAAAGAAGAGUCAGCAGAGCAAACAGAUAACAAACAGAGUGGGAGAAAACCUUCAUAAUCUGUACAUCUGACAAAGUGCUAAUAUCCAGAAUCUACAAUGAACUCAAACAAAUCAGUAAGAAAAAAACAAUUCCAUCAGAAAGUGGCUAAGGAUAUGAAUAGGCAAUUCUCAAAAGAAGAUAUACAAAUGGCCAACAAACAUAGGAAAAAACGCUCAACAUCACAAAUGAUCAGGGAAAUGCAAAUCAAAACCACAAUGCGAUACCACCUCACUCCUGCAAGAAUGGCCAUAAUUAAAAAAAAAAAUCAAAAAACAGUAGAUGUUAGCAUGGAUGCGGUGAACAGGGAACACUUCUACACUGCUGGUGGGAAUGUAAACUAGUAAAGCCACUAUGGAAAACAGUGUGGAGAUUCCUUGAAGAAUUAAAAGUAGAACUACCAUUUGAUCCAGCAAUCCCACUACUGGGUAUCUACCCAGAGGAAAAGAAGUCACUAUUCAAAAAAGAUACUUGCACACACAUGUUUAUAGUGGCACAAUUCAAAAUAGCAAAAUCGUGGAACCAACCCAAAUGCCCAUCAAUCAACAAGUGGAUAAAGAAACUGUGGUAUGUAUAUAUAAUGGAAUACUAUGCAGCCAUAAAAAGGAAUGAAUUAACAGCAUUUGCAGUGACCUGAAUGAGAUUGGAAACUUAUUCUAAGUAAAGUAACUCAGGAAUGGAAAACCAAACAUCAUAUCUUCUCACAGAUAUAUGGGAACUAAGUUAUGAGGACUCAAAGGCAUAAGAAUGAUACAAUGGACUUUGGGGACUUGGGGGGAAGGGUGAGAAGUGGGUGAGGUAUAAAACACUACAAAUAUGCUGCGGUGUAUACUGCGCAGGUGAUGGGUGCACGAAAAUCUCACAAAUCAUCCCUAAAGAACUUACUCAUGUAACCAAAUACCAUCUAUACCUCAAUAACUUAUGGGGAAAAAAGUAAUUGCAAAAACUGCAAUUACCUUUGCAUGAACCAAAGGCCUACUUUGGAGAGUCAGAGGAAUUCUUAACCAUAAUUCAACCAAGACAUACGGUAUGUGCCUUCUCUUUGGUGGAACAGUGAAUAUACAGGCUACUAGCCUGUACUGAGUGUUUCAGCCAAAACACAUUCUUUUAAAAGUCACAGUUUUAAGUGACAAUAUCCCAAUGAAAAUACAAAUUAAAAAAUGCAUUGGCAUAUCUAUAUUCCCUCCCAAAAUAACACACAUUUGGAAUAUAUAAAGAACUCUUAAAAGUCAAUGAGAAAAAAAGCAAUAGCUCAGUAGAAAAGUGGGAAGAAGACUUGGACACUUCAGAAAAGAGAAUAUAUUAAAAUAGUCCAUAAACAGAAAUAAAAGGUGCUCAACUUUAUGAGUCAUCUGGGAUAUGUAGAUUAAAACCACAGUGCAAUAUUAUACCACCCCUACCAGAAUAACUAAAAAGAGUAAGUUGGAAAAUACUCAGUGCUGAUGAGAAAGUGGGGUAAUUGAAACUCUUAUACAUCAUUCUAGGAACAUCCACUUAGGAAAACAACUUGGCAGUGUCUAAUAAAGUCCAGUAUAUGCAUUCCCUAUAACCCAGAAUUUUUACUCUCAGGUGUAUACCCAACAGAAAUGCAGGUGUGUGUUCACCAGAAAUCAUGUUCAAGAAUGUUCAUGGUAUCACUAGUCAUGAGGCACAAAAACUGGAAAUGUUCAUCAACAAUGAGUAGGAUAAAUAAGUUGUGUUAAUAUUUAUACAAUUGAAAAUUAUACAGCAGAAAGAAUAAAUAAUCUAAACCUACACACAACAGCAUGAAGAAAUCUCAUGAGUGGAAUGUUAGAUCAUAACCUAAAUAAACUUACCUGGAGCAGGUGCCACUGAAGCCAUAAAAUGGUAGGAUGAAUUGCUGGAGGCUGACUAUGGACUAGCUUGACAGUAAAAAAUUUGGGGAGGUCCAUUCUGAAGGAGGCCCCUCACACUUUCUUGGAUUUUAUCUUCAGGAAGCCCACCAGAUUUUCAUGGUGAAGAUCUUAGAAAACAUCUCUCAUAUCUUGGUCAGUUGGGGGAAAGUAGCAUUUUGAAAUAAUCCUAGAGCAUUCUCCAUAGCCAAGGUUUACUCCUCAACGGAAACAACUUUACCAGAGCCUUAGUUGACCAUGGAGAAGGGCAGUUAGCCCCCUACAUCCCUCUCUAGCUUUCUUGUGUUACUUAGUGGAAGGAAAAAAAGGAUAAGAAACACUUCUGAAGUCCAAUUCAGGGACUUGAGCCCACUAAAAGACUGAAAUAUACUUACCUCCUCCACACCUUACCACCACAUCAACACAGCUCCAGAAUAAUCACAAUGGGUUACAAUGGAAAGAGCUGCAAAACAUAGACUCUAUUUAAGAAGGAAUUCUUAGGGAAAUCCAAUGUGGAGAAAACAAAGACACUGAGGAAACUAAAGUCUCUGGCAUCUAUAGCUAUGGAAAACAUGAAGCACAACCCAUCUGCUAGGCAGAUUGACAUAAAACCUCAUACUAAAGACCUAUUUUCCUCAGUUCUCAU